AUGACAAAAGAGCAGCCUCUGAAGCAUGUUCUGCCAGGGGUCCCCCGUCCCUUCUGGGGGUGCCUCUGGCAGUCCUUCCAUGACAGGGUGCCCAUGCCAGCCACUCCCCUUGGCUUCGUGGUACCUCCCCACUGGUGCUUGCACGCUGUCGCACCCGGGCUCCUUGGCAGGAGCCCAAGACUCCUCCAGCCCGUCUUCCUGGAGCCACGAUCUGCUCCACUGCCAGCCUUUCUCUGCCUGUGUCUCAGCAAGAGGCUCCCGCUGCUGUCUGGGAGGCCCCGAGGAGGAUCUCCCGCCUCUUCUCUUCCAGCCUGGGCUCGUCCGUCUGCCCGGAUGAUGAUGAGGUGCCCUUGCUGCUCCUGGUGAUCGGAAGAGCGCCUUUAAAGCCAACAAAUAAGGCUACCAUGAACACAAACUAAACAUUCUCUGGUAACAAGGGUGGACUCUUCGAGCUAAGAUUGGUUGUUCCAUUAGGACAUUUCCUCAAGACCGUGUGGGGCACCCCCACUCUCUUCCCCUCCAGAUGCUGCACCCGCUCCCACCUUCAGCUUCGGCUUCCCAUUCCAGGGGGAGACCCACCGAGAGGAGUUGCUUUGUGGGGAAAACAUCUUGCUUGACUGGCAAGAGAGCUUCGACUCGGGACAGGCACCGAAUUCUGCUGCCGUCCUCUUGAGCAGGCGUUUCCUAGAGCCUCCCACAGAAAGCAUCCUCGGGGGCCUCUCUUGAGACAAGCAGCCCCCCACCAGGCUCACGACUUUCUCUCUGCCUGCCCUCCUAGUUUGGCACAUGUAGGUGGCUGGGAAGGCCCUGGCCUACCUUGCAGGGCCACUGUCAGCAUCCCUGAGGGAAGGGACAAGGAGCACCCUCUGGAUUGCAAGGAGCCUCUGGUUCCAGCUGGCUUGUCCUGAGCCUGGAAGCUGAAAGAACUCGGGAGACAACCAGUUCCAGCACUCUCCGAUGUGAAGUACCACCAAACAAGAAAGCCGGGUGGGCACGUCAGAGAGGUGCCAGCCACCCCCCUGUGUGGGGGGGUGGGGGUGGGGGUAGGGAAGCAGGAGGGCACCCGGCGCGAGUGGUUUUUCAAGCCAGGCAUCCCCCCCCCCGACUCGAGGUGGCCCCGAGCAACUCACAGCCGCCAGGCACGUAGGAGAGGCGUCCUGCAGCCCUCUCUCCUCCACACCCCUCACCCUCUGCUGUGAUUGCCAAGACAGGCUGCUG
RNAcentral lists this long non-coding RNA (1218 nucleotides) under Pogona vitticeps (central bearded dragon). RNAcentral describes it as "lncRNA (ENSPVIG00000016229.1)". The record is from RNAcentral. Lineage: Eukaryota; Metazoa; Chordata; Lepidosauria; Squamata; Agamidae.